This 522-nucleotide ribosomal RNA is filed under the name uncultured bacterium. Its description in RNAcentral is "bacterial SSU rRNA". It matches the Rfam family "Bacterial small subunit ribosomal RNA", at positions 777 to 1289 of the family's 1533-position model. The record is from RNAcentral.
AAUAGAUACCCGGGUAGUCCUGGCCGUAAACCAUGGGCACUGGGUAGGGGGCUCGCCGAUGGGCCCCCUGCCGCAGCGAAAGCGUGAAGUGCCCCGCCUGGGGAGUAUGGCCGCAAGGCUGAAACUCAAAGGAAUUGACGGGGGCUCACACAAGCGGUGGAGCAUGUGGCUUAAUUCGAGGCUACGCGAAGAACCUUAUCCCGGGCUUGACAUGCACGGAUUAGCAUCCUGAAAGGGGUGUGACGCCUUCGGGUGGAACGUGCACAGGUGCUGCAUGGCUGUCGUCAGCUCGUGCCGUGAGGUGUUGGGUUAAGUCCCGUAACGAGCGAAACCCCUGCGACCAGUUGCCAUCAGGUCAUGCUGGGGACUCUGGUCGGACCGCCGGCGUCAAGCCGGAGGAAGGCGGGGAUGACGUCAAGUCAUCAUGGCCCUUAUGCCCGGGGCUGCACACGUGCUACAAGUGGGCCGGACAGAGCGUCGCCACUGCGCGAGCAGGAGCCGAAUCGCACGAAACCGGCCCCG